RNAcentral lists this long non-coding RNA (214 nucleotides) under Elaeis guineensis (African oil palm). RNAcentral's name for it is "long non-coding RNA (EGUI_LNC064328)". Lineage: Eukaryota; Viridiplantae; Streptophyta; Magnoliopsida; Arecales; Arecaceae. The record is from RNAcentral.
UGGUGGCUCAUCUGGUCAAAGGAGAAGAUGGUACCCGACUUCAAUGUUGAGUACCAGUUCCUUGCUGCUCCCUUCAGAGUGGAUGGGAAAGCUUGGCACAGGAUGGCGUCUGGCGCACCAUGGAGCAGCAUCAUUGUCCGGAAGGCCUCCAGGUGGUCAAUCGGAUUUGAAGUCCCAUCGUAGCUUUUGAAUUGGGGGAGCUUGAAGUUUGGCG